This 639-nucleotide ribosomal RNA is filed under the name Sporisorium reilianum. RNAcentral's name for it is "LSU rRNA". It matches the Rfam family "Eukaryotic large subunit ribosomal RNA", at positions 43 to 661 of the family's 3401-position model. Lineage: Eukaryota; Fungi; Basidiomycota; Ustilaginomycetes; Ustilaginales; Ustilaginaceae. The record is from RNAcentral.
UCAAUAAGCGGAGGAAAAGAAACUAACAAGGAUUCCCCUAGUAACGGCGAGUGAAGAGGGAAGAGCCCAAGAUUGAAAGCUGGCGUCUUCGACGUCCGCAUUGUAAUCUCAAGAAGCGUUUUCCGCUUCGGACCAUGCCUAAGUCCCUUGGAAAAGGGCAUCAUAGAGGGUGAUAAUCCCGUACAUGGCAUGGAGCGCCCGAAGCUUUGUGAUACGUUUUCUAAGAGUCGAGUUGUUUGGGAAUGCAGCUCAAAAUGGGUGGUAAAUGCCAUCUAAGGCUAAAUAUUGGGGAGAGACCGAUAGCGAACAAGUACAGUGAUGGAAAGAUGAAAAGAACUUUGAAAAGAGAGUUAAACAGUACGUGAAAUUGCCAAAAGGGAAGGGUAGGAGGUCAGAGAUGCGUCUUGGAAUUCAGCCUUGCUUUUUGCUUGGUGUUUUUUCCAAGUUUGCAGGCCAACGUCGGUUUUGGGCACUGGAGAAGGGUGGAAGGAACGUGGCACCCCUCGGGGUGUGUUAUAGCCUUCCACUGGAUACAGCGACCGAGACCGAGGACAGCAGCGUACUCGCAAGAGCGGGCCCUCGGGCACCUUUACGCUUAGGGCGUUGGCAUAAUGGCCCUCUACCACCCGUCUUGAAACA